Molecule: ribosomal RNA, 510 nt
Filed under: uncultured bacterium
Lineage: Bacteria
Description: partial 16S ribosomal RNA
Rfam family: Bacterial small subunit ribosomal RNA
Source: RNAcentral
GACGGACGCUGGCGGCGUGCUUAACACAUGCAAGUCGAACGAAGAGCGAUGGAAGCUUGCUUCUAUCAAUCUUAGUGGCGAACGGGUGAGUAACGCGUAAUCAACCUGCCCUUCAGAGGGGGACAACAGUUGGAAACGACUGCUAAUACCGCAUACGAUCUAAUCUCGGCAUCGAGGAUAGAUGAAAGGUGGCCUCUACAUGUAAGCUAUCACUGAAGGAGGGGAUUGCGUCUGAUUAGCUAGUUGGAGGGGUAACGGCCCACCAAGGCGAUGAUCAGUAGCCGGUCUGAGAGGAUGAACGGCCACAUUGGGACUGAGACACGGCCCAGACUCCUACGGGAGGCAGCAGUGGGGAAUCUUCCGCAAUGGACGAAAGUCUGACGGAGCAACGCCGCGUGAGUGAUGACGGCCUUCGGGUUGUAAAGCUCUGUUAAUCGGGACGAAAGGCCUUCUUGCGAAUAGUGAGAAGGAUUGACGGUACCGGAAUAGAAAGCCACGGCUAACUACGUG